Molecule: ribosomal RNA, 255 nt
Filed under: uncultured bacterium
Lineage: Bacteria
Description: partial 16S ribosomal RNA
Rfam family: Bacterial small subunit ribosomal RNA
Source: RNAcentral
UACGAAGGGGGCUAGCGUUGCUCGGAAUUACUGGGCGUAAAGCGCACGUAGGCGGCUUGUUAAGUAGGAGGUGAAAUCCUGGAGCUCAACUCCAGAACUGCCUUCGAUACUGGCGAGCUCGAGUCCGGGAGAGGUGAGUGGAACUGCGAGUGUAGAGGUGAAAUUCGUAGAUAUUCGCAAGAACACCAGUGGCGAAGGCGGCUCACUGGCCCGGUACUGACGCUGAGGUGGCGAAAGCGUGGGGAGCAAACAGGG